CNNAAGANNAAACGGGUGGAUCCGCAAAGUCGGCCCGCAAAUUCACGCGCGGCGGGCGGUGCGGGUGUCGGGUCCCUGGGAUGCUCUGUGCACCCGGCCCGGCGCCCCCGACGCCGCUCCGCCGCGUGCACUUUUCGCGGGCAGAGCGCCACGACCGUUCCCCGGCGGCCACAAACCGGCGGCGGAAGGUAGGUGAUCUNGCAGCNCACUGUUACAGCCNCCCCGGAGGCGCCCGCCGAGGGACCGAGGGACGGNNGCUUGCCNUCAGCNGCCGGCCUCCCCGGGGNAGUUCGACUGGCAGGGACUGGUUCCCCCCGUGCCUGCNGACCGCUCCUCGGACGGACUCCGGGUCGGCCGGGGCUCGCUCAGGGUCGGUGGCGAAUCUGUCGGCAUUCC
This 396-nucleotide ribosomal RNA is filed under the name Amphibola crenata. RNAcentral describes it as "partial 28S ribosomal RNA". Lineage: Eukaryota; Metazoa; Mollusca; Gastropoda; Amphibolidae. The record is from RNAcentral.